CAAAGAGAACGCUGUUGCUGAUAGAACCAUCCAGCAGAGAUGUUCCUGUUUCGAAGAGGACAACACUGCCAGCUGAGUCCUUCAACGGUGAAGGUACACAUUUUAUCUUCUGCUGUAACUAAAAUGUCAACUGAUUUGUAUAUUUGCCUUUUAAAACUUUGCACUACUACUAUUAAAAUGUGUUUUGUCAACUCAUAGAUUUAAUGGCCACAAGUACACCAAGGCAAAGAGUCACCCCAAGGCAAAAAGCCACUGAAGGCAAGUAACUUAAAAUACCUCUACCAAAACCUAGAGUGUUGUAUUAAAAUGUUUUGGUAGAUUUUUUUUUGAGAACUUAUCAUUUUAUCAUUUCAGAUCAAGCAGCAGACAUCGCUGAUGCUUUAAAGAAUAUUGCUGCAAUCACAGAUAUCUGCAAGUCACUGCUGAUCAAAGUGAACAUGAUGGAGGGGAAAAUGCACGCCAUGGAGAAGCUGCUCCAUAAUGUUGCUUCUCGGCAUUCUGAGAGCUAAACUCAAGAUGAUCUGCACCUGGAGCUUUGUAAAGAUGCGGAGGACUUUACCUUGCUUGACAAUAACUUGCAGGACAAGGCAUAUUUCCAGCAAGCUGUCCGUUUUCUAAGCCUCAUUGGAGGACGGAAGCUGGGAGAAAAUACAAGAAGGACCAUGCUGGCUGUCGCCAGCAAUGCUGUUUGGUGUGGAUACAGCCUGCAUGGGAAGAAGCAGAA
Nothobranchius furzeri (turquoise killifish) is the source of this 724-nucleotide non-coding RNA. The record is from RefSeq and is a predicted model, not a curated record. NCBI's taxonomy places the organism in Eukaryota, Metazoa, Chordata, Actinopteri, Cyprinodontiformes, Nothobranchiidae.